GGAGGGCCCCUCCAUUCAACGUUUAAAAGAGACGUGGAGACAGGUGUCCAGGAAGAACUGGCAAAUACUGAAAAACAUCAUCGAAACAUGCCACCAGGAGAGCAGGAAGCUUCUCAAGGAGGUUGACCGAGGGCCUCAACACACCCCGAGAGUCCAGAGGACAGGACAUUGGUCCGAGGUGUGUCUGGAGGAGGAGUGAAGGCCGGGGGCCAGGGCCUCUGGCUGGGAGGGGGA
This is a long non-coding RNA of Diceros bicornis minor, 234 nucleotides long. RefSeq lists it as uncharacterized. Lineage: Eukaryota; Metazoa; Chordata; Mammalia; Perissodactyla; Rhinocerotidae. The transcript is spliced from 3 exons. The record is from RefSeq and is a predicted model, not a curated record.